AUUGAACGCUGGCGGCAUGCUUUACACAUGCAAGUCGAACGGCAGCGCGGGCUUCGGCCUGGCGGCGAGUGGCGAACGGGUGAGUAAUGCAUCGGAACGUGCCCAGUAGUGGGGGAUAGCCCGGCGAAAGCCGGAUUAAUACCGCAUACGACCUGAGGGUGAAAGCGGGGGACCGAAAGGCCUCGCGCUAUUGGAGCGGCCGAUGUCGGAUUAGCUAGUUGGUGGGGUAAAGGCUUACCAAGGCGACGAUCCGUAGCUGGUCUGAGAGGACGACCAGCCACACUGGGACUGAGACACGGCCCAGACUCCUACGGGAGGCAGCAGUGGGGAAUUUUGGACAAUGGGGGCAACCCUGAUCCAGCCAUGCCGCGUGCGGGAAGAAGGCCUUCGGGUUGUAAACCGCUUUUGUUCGGGAAGAAAUCCACUGGGCUAAUACCCCGGGGGGAUGACGGUACCGGAAGAAUAAGCACCGGCUAACUACGUG
RNAcentral lists this ribosomal RNA (484 nucleotides) under uncultured bacterium. RNAcentral describes it as "partial 16S ribosomal RNA". It matches the Rfam family "Bacterial small subunit ribosomal RNA", at positions 29 to 507 of the family's 1533-position model. The record is from RNAcentral.